UACGGAGGAUGCGAGCGUUAUCCGGAUUUAUUGGGUUUAAAGGGUGCGUAGGCGGUCUGUUAAGUCAGCGGUAAAAUUGCGGGGCUCAACCCCGUCGAGCCGUUGAAACUGGGGGCCUUGAGUGGGCGAGAAGAAGGCGGAAUGCGUGGUGUAGCGGUGAAAUGCAUAGAUAUCACGCAGAACCCCGAUUGCGAAGGCAGCCUUCCGGCGCCCUACUGACGCUGAGGCACGAAAGUGCGGGGAUCGAACAGG
Molecule: ribosomal RNA, 252 nt
Filed under: uncultured bacterium
Lineage: Bacteria
Description: partial 16S ribosomal RNA
Rfam family: Bacterial small subunit ribosomal RNA
Source: RNAcentral